GUACAGUGCGGUCCGCAAGGGUUGCAGAGACACGGGAGUGUCAAGUUGCAAUAAGGCCAGUCCGUUAUCAGACGUGGGAACGUCGGCACCGAUUCGGUGC
RNAcentral lists this small RNA (100 nucleotides) under synthetic construct. The record is from RNAcentral.